RNAcentral lists this unclassified non-coding RNA (379 nucleotides) under uncultured bacterium. Its description in RNAcentral is "contains 16S-23S intergenic spacer region". The record is from RNAcentral.
UCCGGCUUAACGCCGGCAGUCUCCUUAGAGUGCCCAACUUAAUGGUGGCAACUAAGGACGAGGGUUGCGCUCGUUGCGGGACUUAACCCAACGCCUCACGGCACGAGCUGACGACAGCCAUGCAGCACCUGAACCGGCAGUCCCCGAAGGGAAAAUCCUAUUUCUAGGACGGUCCGCCGUUGUCUAGCCCAGGUAAGGUUCUUCGCGUUGCGUCGAAUUGAACCACAUGCUCCACCGCUUGUGCGGGCCCCCGUCAAUUCCUUUGAGUUUCAGCCUUGCGGCCGUACUCCCCAGGCGGGGCACUUAGCGCGUUAGCUACGGCACCCGAAGGGGUCGACACCGCCCACACCUAGCGCCCAUCGUUUACGGCGUGGACUAC